Molecule: non-coding RNA, 562 nt
Organism: Triticum urartu
Lineage: Eukaryota; Viridiplantae; Streptophyta; Magnoliopsida; Poales; Poaceae
Source: RefSeq, a predicted model, not a curated record
CGGAGCCGAGGGCGACUUGAAGAUUUCUACCUCAAGCUGAGCCGCACCGUCGAUCUGGCCAACCCAGGCUGAGUUGCUGGCUUGCUGCCUGUUGGCCUGCUACACAGCCUACUGAUAGUAUGCUCGGUAUUUGACAGGGAAAUCACACAGCGAAGGUUGGAGACUGAUGCGGAUGCGCGCAAGGGCAACGUUGGAUGACACCUAGAAGAGCAAGCACAGUGCAGCGAAGGAAGUACCGAGCUUUGGCAGCACUACACCAUCGUCCUCUGCCUCACCGAGCACAUCAAUUUCAUGAGAUGAUCAACUCCCCGCAUAGACCCGCUUCAAGGGACGAGGAUGCAGAGGCCAGCAACAAGGAGCGGGUGUGGGUGCUCAUCCUCGCCGCUGACCACAAGUGCUGCGACAAACUUUGGGCAGAAUUCGAUCCCUCCACGUGUAUGAGCAAAUCAAAUACUGCUUACUUCUUUCUGUCUGUUGUGUGCUGAAGUAGCUAAUAGACCGCUUUAGAAUGUUGUGAGCUUGGUUAUUUUACAUUGUUUGCUAAUAUCAAGCAAAGAAUGAA